Molecule: ribosomal RNA, 380 nt
Filed under: Strombidium sp.
Lineage: Eukaryota; Ciliophora; Spirotrichea; Strombidiidae
Description: partial small subunit ribosomal RNA
Rfam family: Eukaryotic small subunit ribosomal RNA
Source: RNAcentral
UUCCAGCUCCAAUAGCGUAUAUUAAAGUUGUUGCAGUUAAAAAGCUCGUAGUUGGAUUUCUGGGAGGGUGCCGAUGUCCACUUAACGUGUGCGCAGCGGCGCCCUCUCAUCCUUCUGUUAGCGUCUCUUGGCAUUCAUUUGCUGGUGGCGGGCUCAGAUAUUUUACCUUGAGAAAAUUAGAGUGUUUCAGGCAGGCUAGGCCGGAAUACAUUAGCAUGGAAUAAUGGAAUAGGACUACGGUCUCUUUGUUGGUUUGAGGGACUGCAGUAAUGAUUAAUAGGGAUAGUUGGGGGCAUUAGUAUUUAAUUGUCAGAGGUGGAAUUCUCGGAUUUGUUAAAGACUAACUUAUGCGAAAGCAUUUGCCAAGGAUGUUUUCAUCA